AUGGCGACCGCCUCGCUCAAGCUCUGCUCCCCCAAACCCCUCGCCCCGUCGCCCCUCCUCCGCCGCCCCAGCGCCGCGCGGCCCAUCGGCCCCGCCCGGCGCCUCCCGCCGGCCCGCGUCGCCGUGCAGCCCGCCGCCGCGCCGGCCCCCGCCGCCUCCCCCGGCACCGCCACCUUCGAGCAGGUGCUGGAGCAGCUGAUCGGCGGGGCCGACUUCACGGAGGACGAGGCGGAGGCCACGCUGCAGCUGCUGCUCAACGAGAAGAACGAGGCACGGAUCGCCGCCUUUCUCGUGCUCCUCCGGGCCAAGGGCGAGACCUACGACGAGAUCGUCGGGCUGGCCAAGGCGAUGAUGAACAACUGCGUCCUUGUCGAGGGGCUCCACGACGCCGUCGACAUUGUCGGCACCGGCGGCGACGGCGCGGACACCGUCAACAUCUCCACCGGCUCCACCAUCCUCGCCGCCGCGGCCGGCGCCAAGGUCGCCAAGCAAGGGAGCAGGGCGAGCUCGUCGGCCUGCGGCAGCGCCGAUGUGCUGGAGGCCCUCGGUGUCAACAUCGAGUUGGGACCCGAGGGUAUUAAGCGGUGUGUCAAUGAGGUGGGUGUUGGAUUCAUGAUGUCUGCAAAUUACCAUCCGGCAAUGAAAAUUGUCAGACCUGUGAGGAAGAAGCUGAAGAUAAAGACAGUUUUCAAUAUCCUUGGUCCUCUGUUGAAUCCAGCAAGGGUGCCCUACGCUGUUAUUGGUGUUUACCAUGAGAACAUAGUUAGCAAGAUGGCUAAAGCAGCCCAGAAAUUUGGAAUGCAGAGAGCAUUGGUUGUCCAUUCAAAGGGUUUGGACGAAAUAAGCCCACUUGGGCCUGGAUAUAUCCUUGAUGUGACUCCAGGAAAGAUUGAAAAAAUGCUCUUUGAUCCAUUGGAUUUUGGCAUUCCUCGCUGCACAUUACUAGAUCUUAAAGGAGGCGAUCCCGCGUUCAACGCAAAAGUUCUCCAGGAUGUUCUCGCUGGACAAAGAGGCCCAAUCGCAGAUGCUCUUGUUCUGAACGCCGCGGCCUCCCUCCUUGUUAGCGGCAAAGUGAAAACUCUGCAAGAGGGUGUUGCGCUAGCACAGGAGACGCAGCGCUCCGGAGUGGCCAUCAACACGCUCGAGUCAUGGAUUAAGGUUUCCAAUAGCUGCUGA
RNAcentral lists this ribosomal RNA (1176 nucleotides) under Triticum aestivum (bread wheat). RNAcentral describes it as "partial small subunit ribosomal RNA". The record is from RNAcentral. Lineage: Eukaryota; Viridiplantae; Streptophyta; Magnoliopsida; Poales; Poaceae.